RNAcentral lists this ribosomal RNA (2930 nucleotides) under Escherichia coli. RNAcentral describes it as "23S ribosomal RNA". It matches the Rfam family "Bacterial large subunit ribosomal RNA". The record is from RNAcentral. Lineage: Bacteria; Pseudomonadati; Pseudomonadota; Gammaproteobacteria; Enterobacterales; Enterobacteriaceae.
GGGUUGUGAGGUUAAGCGACUAAGCGUACACGGUGGAUGCCCUGGCAGUCAGAGGCGAUGAAGGACGUGCUAAUCUGCGAUAAGCGUCGGUAAGGUGAUAUGAACCGUUAUAACCGGCGAUUUCCGAAUGGGGAAACCCAGUGUGAUUCGUCACACUAUCAUUAACUGAAUCCAUAGGUUAAUGAGGCGAACCGGGGGAACUGAAACAUCUAAGUACCCCGAGGAAAAGAAAUCAACCGAGAUUCCCCCAGUAGCGGCGAGCGAACGGGGAGCAGCCCAGAGCCUGAAUCAGUGUGUGUGUUAGUGGAAGCGUCUGGAAAGGCGCGCGAUACAGGGUGACAGCCCCGUACACAAAAAUGCACAUGCUGUGAGCUCGAUGAGUAGGGCGGGACACGUGGUAUCCUGUCUGAAUAUGGGGGGACCAUCCUCCAAGGCUAAAUACUCCUGACUGACCGAUAGUGAACCAGUACCGUGAGGGAAAGGCGAAAAGAACCCCGGCGAGGGGAGUGAAAAAGAACCUGAAACCGUGUACGUACAAGCAGUGGGAGCACGCUUAGGCGUGUGACUGCGUACCUUUUGUAUAAUGGGUCAGCGACUUAUAUUCUGUAGCAAGGUUAACCGAAUAGGGGAGCCGAAGGGAAACCGAGUCUUAACUGGGCGUUAAGUUGCAGGGUAUAGACCCGAAACCCGGUGAUCUAGCCAUGGGCAGGUUGAAGGUUGGGUAACACUAACUGGAGGACCGAACCGACUAAUGUUGAAAAAUUAGCGGAUGACUUGUGGCUGGGGGUGAAAGGCCAAUCAAACCGGGAGAUAGCUGGUUCUCCCCGAAAGCUAUUUAGGUAGCGCCUCGUGAAUUCAUCUCCGGGGGUAGAGCACUGUUUCGGCAAGGGGGUCAUCCCGACUUACCAACCCGAUGCAAACUGCGAAUACCGGAGAAUGUUAUCACGGGAGACACACGGCGGGUGCUAACGUCCGUCGUGAAGAGGGAAACAACCCAGACCGCCAGCUAAGGUCCCAAAGUCAUGGUUAAGUGGGAAACGAUGUGGGAAGGCCCAGACAGCCAGGAUGUUGGCUUAGAAGCAGCCAUCAUUUAAAGAAAGCGUAAUAGCUCACUGGUCGAGUCGGCCUGCGCGGAAGAUGUAACGGGGCUAAACCAUGCACCGAAGCUGCGGCAGCGACGCUUAUGCGUUGUUGGGUAGGGGAGCGUUCUGUAAGCCUGUGAAGGUGUACUGUGAGGUAUGCUGGAGGUAUCAGAAGUGCGAAUGCUGACAUAAGUAACGAUAAAGCGGGUGAAAAGCCCGCUCGCCGGAAGACCAAGGGUUCCUGUCCAACGUUAAUCGGGGCAGGGUGAGUCGACCCCUAAGGCGAGGCCGAAAGGCGUAGUCGAUGGGAAACAGGUUAAUAUUCCUGUACUUGGUGUUACUGCGAAGGGGGGACGGAGAAGGCUAUGUUGGCCGGGCGACGGUUGUCCCGGUUUAAGCGUGUAGGCUGGUUUUCCAGGCAAAUCCGGAAAAUCAAGGCUGAGGCGUGAUGACGAGGCACUACGGUGCUGAAGCAACAAAUGCCCUGCUUCCAGGAAAAGCCUCUAAGCAUCAGGUAACAUCAAAUCGUACCCCAAACCGACACAGGUGGUCAGGUAGAGAAUACCAAGGCGCUUGAGAGAACUCGGGUGAAGGAACUAGGCAAAAUGGUGCCGUAACUUCGGGAGAAGGCACGCUGAUAUGUAGGUGAAGUCCCUCGCGGAUGGAGCUGAAAUCAGUCGAAGAUACCAGCUGGCUGCAACUGUUUAUUAAAAACACAGCACUGUGCAAACACGAAAGUGGACGUAUACGGUGUGACGCCUGCCCGGUGCCGGAAGGUUAAUUGAUGGGGUUAGCGCAAGCGAAGCUCUUGAUCGAAGCCCCGGUAAACGGCGGCCGUAACUAUAACGGUCCUAAGGUAGCGAAAUUCCUUGUCGGGUAAGUUCCGACCUGCACGAAUGGCGUAAUGAUGGCCAGGCUGUCUCCACCCGAGACUCAGUGAAAUUGAACUCGCUGUGAAGAUGCAGUGUACCCGCGGCAAGACGGAAAGACCCCGUGAACCUUUACUAUAGCUUGACACUGAACAUUGAGCCUUGAUGUGUAGGAUAGGUGGGAGGCUUUGAAGUGUGGACGCCAGUCUGCAUGGAGCCGACCUUGAAAUACCACCCUUUAAUGUUUGAUGUUCUAACGUGGACCCGUAAUCCGGGUUGCGGACAGUGUCUGGUGGGUAGUUUGACUGGGGCGGUCUCCUCCUAAAGAGUAACGGAGGAGCACGAAGGUUGGCUAAUCCUGGUCGGACAUCAGGAGGUUAGUGCAAUGGCAUAAGCCAGCUUGACUGCGAGCGUGACGGCGCGAGCAGGUGCGAAAGCAGGUCAUAGUGAUCCGGUGGUUCUGAAUGGAAGGGCCAUCGCUCAACGGAUAAAAGGUACUCCGGGGAUAACAGGCUGAUACCGCCCAAGAGUUCAUAUCGACGGCGGUGUUUGGCACCUCGAUGUCGGCUCAUCACAUCCUGGGGCUGAAGUAGGUCCCAAGGGUAUGGCUGUUCGCCAUUUAAAGUGGUACGCGAGCUGGGUUUAGAACGUCGUGAGACAGUUCGGUCCCUAUCUGCCGUGGGCGCUGGAGAACUGAGGGGGGCUGCUCCUAGUACGAGAGGACCGGAGUGGACGCAUCACUGGUGUUCGGGUUGUCAUGCCAAUGGCACUGCCCGGUAGCUAAAUGCGGAAGAGAUAAGUGCUGAAAGCAUCUAAGCACGAAACUUGCCCCGAGAUGAGUUCUCCCUGACUCCUUGAGAGUCCUGAAGGAACGUUGAAGACGACGACGUUGAUAGGCCGGGUGUGUAAGCGCAGCGAUGCGUUGAGCUAACCGGUACUAAUGAACCGUGAGGCUUAACCUUACAACGCCGAAGCUGUU